Oncorhynchus tshawytscha (Chinook salmon) is the source of this 427-nucleotide long non-coding RNA. The record is from Ensembl. NCBI's taxonomy places the organism in Eukaryota, Metazoa, Chordata, Actinopteri, Salmoniformes, Salmonidae.
GGCCUUUCUAGGGAGUUUUUCCUAGCCACCGUGCUUCUACACCUGCAUUGCUUGCUGUUUGGGCUUUUAGCCUGGGUUUCUGUACAGCACUUUGAGAUAUCAGCUGAUGUACGAAGGGCUAUAUAAAUAAAUUUGAUUUGAUGAUUUAUGAGGCGGUAGGUAGCCUAGUGGUUAGAGUGUAGAGGUGGCAGGUAGCCUAGUGGUUAGAGUGUAGAGGUGGCAGGUAGCCUAGUGGUUAGAGUGUAGAGGUGGCAGGUAGCCUAGUGGUUAGAGCGUAGAGGCGGCAGGUAGCCUAGUGGUUAGAGCGUAGAGGCGGCAGGUAGCCUAGUGGUUAGAGCGUAGAGGCGGCAGGUAGCCUAAUGGUUAGAGCGUUGGACUGAUAACCGAAAGGUUGCAAGAUUGAAUCCCGGAGCUGACAAGAUAAAAA